RNAcentral lists this ribosomal RNA (500 nucleotides) under uncultured bacterium. RNAcentral's name for it is "partial 16S ribosomal RNA". It matches the Rfam family "Bacterial small subunit ribosomal RNA", at positions 28 to 523 of the family's 1533-position model. The record is from RNAcentral.
GAUGAACGCUAGCGGCAGGCUUAAUACAUGCAAGUCGUGGGGCAGCAUGAGUAGCAAUACUUGAUGGCGACCGGCAAACGGGUGCGGAACACGUACACAACCUUCCGAUAAGUGGGGAAUAGCCCAGAGAAAUUUGGAUUAAUACCCCGUAACAUAUAGAGUAGGCAUCUUCUUUAUAUUAUAGCUUCGGCGCUUAUUGAUGGGUGUGCGUCUGAUUAGGUAGUUGGCGGGGUAACGGCCCACCAAGCCUACGAUCAGUAGCUGAUGUGAGAGCAUAGUCAGCCAAACGGGCACUGGGACACGGGCCCGACUCCUACGGGAGGAAGCAGUAAGGAAUAUUGGAAAAUGGGCGAAAGCCUGAUCCAGCCAUGCCGCGUGAAGGAUUAAGGUCCUCUGGAUUGUAAACUUCUUUUAUUUGGGACGAAAAAAGGGAAUUCUUUCCCACUUGACGGUACCAAGUGAAUAAGCACCGGCUAACUCCGUGCCAGCCGCCGCUGUAA